GAUGAACGCUAGCUACAGGCUUAACACAUGCAAGUCGAGGGGGUAGCAGGGGUAGCAAUACCGCUGACGACCGGCGCACGGGUGAGUAACACGUAUCCAACCUUCCCAUAACUCGGGGAUAGCCUUUACGAAGAAAGAUUAAUACCCGAUAGUACUUUUUUGAGGCAUCUUGAGAAAGUUAAAGAUUUAUUGGUUAUGGAUGGGGAUGCGUUCCAUUAGAUUGUUGGUGAGGUAACGGCUCACCAAGUCUUCGAUGGAUAGGGGUUCUGAGAGGAAGGUCCCCCACAUUGGUACUGAGACACGGACCAAACUCCUACGGGAGGCAGCAGUGAGGAAUAUUGGUCAAUGGGCGAGAGCCUGAACCAGCCAAGUAGCGUGAAGGAUGAAGGUCCUAUGGAUUGUAAACUUCUUUUAUAGUAGAAUAAAGUGAUCCACGUGUGGAUUUUUGUAUGUAUACUAUGAAUAAGGAUCGGCUAACUCCGUG
Molecule: ribosomal RNA, 484 nt
Filed under: uncultured bacterium
Lineage: Bacteria
Description: bacterial SSU rRNA
Rfam family: Bacterial small subunit ribosomal RNA
Source: RNAcentral